GACGAACCGUGCGAACGUUGUUCGGAAUCCCUGGGCUUAAAGGGCGCGUAGGCGGGCCGGCCAGUCAGGGGUGAAAGCCCGCGGCUCAACCGCGGAAGUGCCUUUGAUACUGCCGGCCUCGAGGGAGGUAGGGGCGUGCGGAACUUCCGGUGGAGCGGUGAAAUGCGUAGAUAUCAGGAGGAACACCUGUGGUGUAGACGGCUUUCUGGACCAUAGCUGACGCUGAGACACGAAAGCGUGGGUAGCAAACAGG
RNAcentral lists this ribosomal RNA (253 nucleotides) under uncultured bacterium. RNAcentral describes it as "partial 16S ribosomal RNA". It matches the Rfam family "Bacterial small subunit ribosomal RNA", at positions 524 to 776 of the family's 1533-position model. The record is from RNAcentral.